This is a long non-coding RNA of Hipposideros armiger (great roundleaf bat), 2289 nucleotides long. RefSeq lists it as uncharacterized. The record is from RefSeq and is a predicted model, not a curated record. Lineage: Eukaryota; Metazoa; Chordata; Mammalia; Chiroptera; Hipposideridae. The transcript has 3 exons.
UGUCACGGUUUUCAAACAGAAAUCGCAGUGGUGGGAUUUAUUAUCUCUAACGUCACUUGUUAAAUUUGACACUAUGCAAAUGAUUAUAUAAAGGGUACCAAAGGGGAAGCUAGGGAAGAUGGAGUGAGGCGAGGCGGAUGAGCGAACGGACAGAUGGACUCCACAGAGUGCUAAUGGAAGGACUUUCGGUGGAAGGAGGAUUAUUCCGCCUUUGUGGGUUUCUAUAGGGUUUCUGUAGGAAGCAGGGCAAACGCAUCAUAACCACCACCUCUGCCUGCAAUAAGUCCAGCAAUAUGGUUGAAAAGUUGAAAUAUACAUUUAUUUUAUUGGCCAACCUGUGUCAGGUAGCCUAGUUAAUUUCCCUGAAUACUUUCAGUAUUUAUUCAAUCUGAUUCUAAAUGGUUCAAAGCACACGGUAUUCCUGAAAUGAAAGAGAACUUUUGAGAAGUUGUGAAUAACGGCUGUCACUGUUUUCAGAGCUCCUGAUGGAGGCUGGGUGUUUCACAUAUUAUGGAAUUUAAUCUGUACACCUGUCCUACAAGAGUCAAUUUCUUCUGUUUGAACUGAAGGGACAACCGAGAUACCAUGAUGCAGAUGAGAAACCCCAGCCUGCUCCCUAAUUUGUCAUUUCAAGAAUGGAUGUCCUAACUCUACUGAAGAAAGAGAACUUGCAUAGCUUGUAAACUCAAUGAGCCAUUAAAUAGGUGACAAUAAUCUUGAUCGAAGUUUGGAAUAUUUAAUUAGUGCAAAAAAUACUCUUAGCCAGCGUGCUCAAUUACUUCCACGGAUACUCCCCAAAAUAUCAACCAACUAUUUUGCAUGUCUAUGAAAUGCUUUGGAAGACAUUUAAGACUGAAAAAGGAGAUAAUAUUUCAUCUAUUAAUCGAGGACUUGACAUGCUUGUACAUGUCCAGUAAUAAAGUUUCAAAGUGAAUUUAGUUUAGAUCCUUGAGACAUUUUUAAAGGUGACAUUUCUAUCCUUAAGGCACUAUUUGUUGCAUGUAUUUGUUCGUGUGGUUUGUCCCCACAAUUUUUUAACAGAUGCAUACCACCGUAAGAGAUAAAUUAUCACAAUUUAAUUAUCUACUUUCAUAUUUUUGGGCAAUUAUGUUGCUUCAAUUUUUCUCUCAUAAAUAGGAAAUUUGUGUUGAAAAUAGUUUGUUAGCAUGUGUUUUUGAGUAAAUCUUUGGGAGUUAUAAUUACUACAUUGUUAAGUAUGAAGAUCUUUUAAAAAGAGAUUUCACACAUGUUUCUAGAUUAUGUAGUAAUCCAAAAAGAAAAUAUCUUCUUAAAAAUACAAUGAUUUGUACAUACCAGUGGGGUAUAACUUCAGGACAAAAACUGCAUCAAAAUUGCAUUAAAAAUGAUGUGUUAACCCUUUCUAUUAAUCAUAAUUUUUGGUGGCCAUGUUGGUAUUGCUAUUCUGAGACAGGUCUGGGAGUAAUGGGGAUAAAGAAAAUAAGCGAGUGACAUUCUAGUACUACCAUUUUUAGUGACCUUGAGAAUCAGAACUCUCAAUAUAAGGAAAAUACAAGAGUUUAACUAAAAAUUCUAUAGGCUGAAUUUGUAGUAUAAACUCAUGUGUAUUUUUAAUCCUAAAAAACAUAUUCUUCAUUUGUCACUGAAAAGGCCUAGAAACAUCCAUCAAUCCAGUAACGAUGAGCAUUCCUAGCCCCCACGUUAUGUUCUUGAACGAUAAUUGUCCACUUAAAGGAACCAGUUCUCCUUGGAGAAAUGGCUGAUUCCACAACAGGGAUGGGCACUAGACAAGACCAUCCUAGGACAUCUUGUCAUAUUAGAUAAUAAAGCAACUAUGGAACACUACCCGAGUCAGGUCCAAGUGACUCGGGAGCCAAUGUCAAAAGAUUCCUUUUGCAAAAGAUGAAGAAAUGUGAGACUCAUUAAGAAUAACUGCAAUAAAUGUAAGCACAUAAAAUACGUUUGAAUUUUUGACUUCAUAAUGAUGCUUCAUGAAGUUAUUGUAACGACUAGAUGGCUAUCUUAUUAUUUAAAAAUUGGUUAGUGAAGAGGAUGAAUUAAAUAUUUACACUGCCUUUCCUAUAAAAACUAUAGCACCAAGAUAACCCAAUAUGAGAUCAGGGGAAAUAAUUAUUAAUGGAGGUAUUCCAGCUAAUAAAAGAAUAAGAAAAUAACAGAAUAUCACCAUAAUGAAUUUAUGAUUCUAGGUAGUAAGCAUUAUUGGCAGCUAAUAUUACAAAAGGAUAGGUACUCAGAUAGUAUGUCGCUUCUGAUGGCAGAAUGGAAAAUCUAUUAUAAAAUAGUGUUGAC